AGUGAACGCUGGCGGCAGGCCUAACACAUGCAAGUCGAACGGCAGCACAGUAAGAGCUUGCUCUUACGGGUGGCGAGUGGCGGACGGGUGAGGAAUACAUCGGAAUCUACUUUUUCGUGGGGGAUAACGUAGGGAAACUUACGCUAAUACCGCAUACGACCUACGGGUGAAAGCAGGGGAUCUUCGGACCUUGCGCGAUUGAAUGAGCCGAUGUCGGAUUAGCUAGUUGGCGGGGUAAAGGCCCACCAAGGCGACGAUCCGUAGCUGGUCUGAGAGGAUGAUCAGCCACACUGGAACUGAGACACGGUCCAGACUCCUACGGGAGGCAGCAGUGGGGAAUAUUGGACAAAGGGCGCAAGCCUGAUCCAGCCAUACCGCGUGGGUGAAGAAGGCCUUCGGGUUGUAAAGCCCUUUUGUUGGGAAAGAAAAGCAGCAGGUUAAUACCCCGCUGUUCUGACGGUACCCAAAGAAUAAGCACCGGCUAACUUCGUG
Molecule: ribosomal RNA, 492 nt
Filed under: uncultured bacterium
Lineage: Bacteria
Description: partial 16S ribosomal RNA
Rfam family: Bacterial small subunit ribosomal RNA
Source: RNAcentral